GAUGAACGCUGGCGGCGUGCCUAAUACAUGCAGGUCGAGCGAACGGACGAGAAGCUUGCUUCUCUGAUGUUAGCGGCGGACGGGUGAGUAACACGUGGAUAACCUACCUAUAAGACUGGGAUAACUUCGGGAAACCGGAGCUAAUACCGGAUAAUAUUUUGAACCGCAUGGUUCAAAAGUGAAAGACGGUCUUGCUGUCACUUAUAGAUGGAUCCGCGCUGCAUUAGCUAGUUGGUAAGGUAACGGCUUACCAAGGCAACGAUGCAUAGCCGACCUGAGAGGGUGAUCGGCCACACUGGAACUGAGACACGGUCCAGACUCCUACGGGAGGCAGCAGUAGGGAAUCUUCCGCAAUGGGCGAAAGCCUGACGGAGCAACGCCGCGUGAGUGAUGAAGGUCUUCGGAUCGUAGAACUCUGUUAUUAGGGAAGAACAUAUGUGUAAGUAACUGUGCACAUCUUGACGGUACCUAAUCAGAAAGCCACGGCUAACUACGUG
RNAcentral lists this ribosomal RNA (497 nucleotides) under uncultured bacterium. RNAcentral describes it as "partial 16S ribosomal RNA". It matches the Rfam family "Bacterial small subunit ribosomal RNA", at positions 28 to 507 of the family's 1533-position model. The record is from RNAcentral.